This 486-nucleotide ribosomal RNA is filed under the name uncultured bacterium. RNAcentral's name for it is "partial 16S ribosomal RNA". It matches the Rfam family "Bacterial small subunit ribosomal RNA", at positions 28 to 507 of the family's 1533-position model. The record is from RNAcentral.
GACGAACGCUGGCGGCGUGCUUAACACAUGCAAGUCGAACGCUGAAGACCUGGCUUUUGUUGGGUUGGAUGAGUGGCGAACGGGUGAGUAACACGUGAGUAACCUGCUCUCUUUUUUGGGAUAAUGCCCGGAAACGGGUGCUAAUACUGGAUAUUCACUGAUCUUCGCAUGGGGGUUGGAGGAUAGGUUCGUUCUGGUGGGGGAUGGGCUCACGGCCUAUCAGCUGGUGGGUGGGGUGAUGGCCUACCAAGGCUGUGACGGGUAUCCGGCCUGGGAGGGGGACCGGUGACGUUGGGACGGGUCUACGGCCCAGAGGCCUGCGGGAGGCAGCAAUGGGGGACAUUGGACAAUAGGCGAAAGCCUGAUGCCGCGGCGCCGCGUGAGGGAUGGAGGCCUUCGGGGUGUAAUCCUCUGUCGCUCAUGGUCAAGGCGCAACUGUGGGUUGUUGUGAGGGUAGUGGGUAAAGAAGCGCCGGCUAACUACGUG